AGAGUUUGAUCCUGGCUCAGGAUUAACGCUAGCGGUGUGCCUAAGGUAUGCAAGUCGAACGAUAAACUAUCUUCGGAUAGUAGACAGUGGCAGACGGCUGAGUAACGCGUGGGAAUCUACCCCAAACACGAGGAUAGCUCAUCGAAAGAUGUGGUAAUACUCGAUAGUUCCCGAUUUAAUCGGGAUAAAGCUCCGGCGGUUUGGGAUGAGCCCGCGUCCUAUCAGAUUGUUGGUGAGGUAAAAGCUCACCAAGUCUAUGACGGGUAGCUGGUCUGAGAGGAUGACCAGCCAGACUGGGACUGCGAUACGGCCCAGACUCCUACGGGAGGCAGCAACUAGGAAUCAUGCGCAAUGGACGAAAGUCUGACGCUGCGACACCGCGUGAGGGAUGAAGGUCUUAGGAUCGUAAACCUCUUUUAUUGGGGAACAAGUUCUGAGGGUACCCAAUGAAUAAGUGCCUGCUAACCACGUGCCAGAAGCAUCGGUAAUACGUGGGGCACAAGCGUUAUCCGGAUUUACUGGGCGUAAAGAGAUGCGUAGGCGUCCUAAAAAGUUUCGUGUUAAAUCUCUCGGCUCAACCGAGAAACCGCACGGAAAACUUUUAGGAUUGAGAUAAGUAGGGGAGAAGGGAAUUCCUGGUGGAGCGGUUAAAUGCGUUGAUAUCAGGAGGAAUACCAAUGGCGAAGGCACUUCUCUGGACUUUAUCUGACGCUGAGGCUCGAAAGCGUGGGGAGCAAAACGGAUUAGAUACCCGUGUAGUCCACGCUGUAAACGAUCCCUGCUAGAUGUCUGAUUCUCGUAAGUUUUUCACUUCGGUGAAAUGUUUUACGUUUAUUGGGUGUCGUAGUUAACGCGUUAAGCAGGGCGCCUAGGGAGUACGGCCGCAAGGCUAAAACUUAAAGGAAUUGACGGGGACCCGCACAAGCAGUGGAGCGCCUGGUUUAAUUCGAUGACCAACGAAAAACCUCACCUGAGCUUGAACUGUAGCUGCACACCCCCAGAAACGGGGGAAUCCUUCGAGGGUGCUACAGAGGUGCUGCAUGGCUGUCGUCAGCUCGUGUCGUGAGAUGUAGGGUUAGGUCCCACAACGAGCGCAACCCCUAUCUAGUGUUAUAAUUUCUCUAGAGACUGCUCUGUUAUAACAGGGAGGAAGGAGGGGACGACGUCCAGUCAUCAUGAUCCUUAUGUUCAGGGCUACACAGACGCUACAAUGGUUAAUACAAUGGGCAGCCAAGCCGCGAGGUGGAGCUAAUCCCAUCAAAGUUAAUCUCAGUUCGGAUUGUAGGCUGCAACUCGCCUGCAUGAAGUUGGAAUUGCUAGUAAUCGCGAAUCAGCAUGUCGCGGUGAAUACGUUCUCGGGUCUUGUACACACCGCCCGUCAGGGCACGGGAGUUGCUCUUGCUCGAAGUUCCUAUUUUUUUAGGACCGAAAGUUAAGGGUGGCGACCAGGCUUAAGUCGUAACAAGGUA
This 1469-nucleotide ribosomal RNA is filed under the name metagenome. Its description in RNAcentral is "bacterial SSU rRNA". It matches the Rfam family "Bacterial small subunit ribosomal RNA". The record is from RNAcentral.